This 293-nucleotide long non-coding RNA is filed under the name Capsella grandiflora. RNAcentral's name for it is "long non-coding RNA (CGRA_LNC000213)". The record is from RNAcentral. Lineage: Eukaryota; Viridiplantae; Streptophyta; Magnoliopsida; Brassicales; Brassicaceae.
GCAUGGCAAAUAUAUCAAUUAGCCACCAUAUAUUACAAACAUCUGCAUUAACUCAACGUUUACACGCUUAAAGAUUGUCUACCACAUUUUCAGUACAGUGUUUGGCCAUGGAGAUGGCAAAAUANNNNNNNNNNUCUACCACAUUUUCAGUACAGUGUUUGGCCAUGGAGAUGGCAAAAUAGACGUAAGAUCACACAGGCCAUCAAUUUAGUCUGUCUUCCUACUAUAAGAACAUAGGACGACCUCUUGAAUGAUGCAAAGAAGACUAAAGACGGUAAGAGAUUAGAAGAAAC